RNAcentral lists this ribosomal RNA (497 nucleotides) under uncultured bacterium. Its description in RNAcentral is "partial 16S ribosomal RNA". It matches the Rfam family "Bacterial small subunit ribosomal RNA", at positions 28 to 507 of the family's 1533-position model. The record is from RNAcentral.
GAUGAACGCUGGCGGCGUGCCUAAUACAUGCAAGUCGAGCGAACAGAUGAGGAGCUUGCUCCUCUGACGUUAGCGGCGGACGGGUGAGUAACACGUGGAUAACCUACCUAUAAGACUGGGAUAACUUCGGGAAACCGGAGCUAAUACCGGAUAAUAUAUUGAACCGCAUGGUUCAAUAGUGAAAGACGGUUUUGCUGUCACUUAUAGAUGGAUCCGCGCCGCAUUAGCUAGUUGGUAAGGUAACGGCUUACCAAGGCAACGAUGCGUAGCCGACCUGAGAGGGUGAUCGGCCACACUGGAACUGAGACACGGUCCAGACUCCUACGGGAGGCAGCAGUAGGGAAUCUUCCGCAAAGGGCGAAAGCCUGACGGAGCAACGCCGCGUGAGUGAUGAAGGUCUUCGGAUCGUAAAGCUCUGUUAUUAGGGAAGAACAAAUGUGUAAGUAACUAUGCACGUCUUGACGGUACCUAAUCAGAAAGCCACGGCUAACUACGUG